This 64-nucleotide non-coding RNA is filed under the name Homo sapiens (human). Lineage: Eukaryota; Metazoa; Chordata; Mammalia; Primates; Hominidae. The record is from RNAcentral.
CCCUGGUGACCUGUGACAAAGGAGUGUUCAGAUUACAUCCCUCCUCUGUCCCAGGCCCAGACUU